RNAcentral lists this unclassified non-coding RNA (355 nucleotides) under Hevea brasiliensis (rubber tree). The record is from RNAcentral. Lineage: Eukaryota; Viridiplantae; Streptophyta; Magnoliopsida; Malpighiales; Euphorbiaceae.
GGAAUUUAGGAUACAGUUCUUUGCCUCAUCCAUUUAGUAGCUGACCAUUUCUCUCCUGAGAGUACUUCACAUCCUCCAUGUAGACUAUCAGGGUCAGAUUGUCCAUCAAGCCCCAUACUCCAAAAAAGAACAGCAUCUCCUUUCGUAGGUUUUACACAUAACCCUUGGAUCAUUUUGCCGCCACAGCUACAUUUACCAGUGCCAGCCAUAGGAAAGUAUGUUUCUCCCCCCUCCACAUUGUCGCUCAAAUACAUGAGCAUUGUAGCUAUUCUUUGACCUCCACGCUUCACAUUAAAACUAUCAGAGAAAUAGUCAUGAUGGGCUCUAUAGAACUGAUUCUUUUCAUACCUUAACA